Molecule: ribosomal RNA, 399 nt
Filed under: Triticum aestivum (bread wheat)
Lineage: Eukaryota; Viridiplantae; Streptophyta; Magnoliopsida; Poales; Poaceae
Description: partial small subunit ribosomal RNA
Source: RNAcentral
AUGGUGGUUAACCGUAUUAUGAAAGACGGAAAAAAAUCAUUGGCUUAUCAAAUUCUCUAUCGAGCCAUGAAAAAGAUUCAACAAAAGGCAGAAACAAAUCCACUAUUGGUUUUACGUCAAGCAAUACGUAGAGUAACUCCCAAUAUAGGAGUAAAAACAAGACGUAAUAAAAAAGGAUCGACGCGGAAAGUUCCGAUUGAAAUAGGAUCUAAACAAGGAAGAGCACUUGCCAUUCGUUGGUUAUUAGAAGCAUCCACAAAGCGUCCGGGUCAAAAUAUGGCUUUCAAAUUAAGUUCCGAAUUAGUAGAUGUUGCCAAAGGGAGUGGGGGUGCCAUACGCAAAAAGGAAGGGACUCAUAGAAUGGCAGAGGCAAAUAGAGCUCUUGCACAUUUUCGUUAA